Molecule: ribosomal RNA, 1502 nt
Filed under: Klebsiella pneumoniae
Lineage: Bacteria; Pseudomonadati; Pseudomonadota; Gammaproteobacteria; Enterobacterales; Enterobacteriaceae
Description: bacterial SSU rRNA
Rfam family: Bacterial small subunit ribosomal RNA
Source: RNAcentral
AGAGUUUGAUCCUGGCUCAGAUUGAACGCUGGCGGCAGGCCUAACACAUGCAAGUCGAGCGGUAGCACAGAGAGCUUGCUCUCGGGUGACGAGCGGCGGACGGGUGAGUAAUGUCUGGGAAACUGCCUGAUGGAGGGGGAUAACUACUGGAAACGGUAGCUAAUACCGCAUAACGUCGCAAGACCAAAGUGGGGGACCUUCGGGCCUCAUGCCAUCAGAUGUGCCCAGAUGGGAUUAGCUGGUAGGUGGGGUAACGGCUCACCUAGGCGACGAUCCCUAGCUGGUCUGAGAGGAUGACCAGCCACACUGGAACUGAGACACGGUCCAGACUCCUACGGGAGGCAGCAGUGGGGAAUAUUGCACAAUGGGCGCAAGCCUGAUGCAGCCAUGCCGCGUGUGUGAAGAAGGCCUUCGGGUUGUAAAGCACUUUCAGCGGGGAGGAAGGCGGUGAGGUUAAUAACCUCACCGAUUGACGUUACCCGCAGAAGAAGCACCGGCUAACUCCGUGCCAGCAGCCGCGGUAAUACGGAGGGUGCAAGCGUUAAUCGGAAUUACUGGGCGUAAAGCGCACGCAGGCGGUCUGUCAAGUCGGAUGUGAAAUCCCCGGGCUCAACCUGGGAACUGCAUUCGAAACUGGCAGGCUAGAGUCUUGUAGAGGGGGGUAGAAUUCCAGGUGUAGCGGUGAAUGCGUAGAGAUCUGGAGGAAUACCGGUGGCGAAGGCGGCCCCCUGGACAAAGACUGACGCUCAGGUGCGAAAGCGUGGGGAGCAAACAGGAUUAGAUACCCUGGUAGUCCACGCUGUAAACGAUGUCGAUUUGGAGGUUGUGCCCUUGAGGCGUGGCUUCCGGAGCUAACGCGUUAAAUCGACCGCCUGGGGAGUACGGCCGCAAGGUUAAAACUCAAAUGAAUUGACGGGGGCCCGCACAAGCGGUGGAGCAUGUGGUUUAAUUCGAUGCAACGCGAAGAACCUUACCUGGUCUUGACAUCCACAGAACUUUCCAGAGAUGGAUUGGUGCCUUCGGGAACUGUGAGACAGGUGCUGCAUGGCUGUCGUCAGCUCGUGUUGUGAAAUGUUGGGUUAAGUCCCGCAACGAGCGCAACCCUUAUCCUUUGUUGCCAGCGGUCCGGCCGGGAACUCAAAGGAGACUGCCAGUGAUAAACUGGAGGAAGGUGGGGAUGACGUCAAGUCAUCAUGGCCCUUACGACCAGGGCUACACACGUGCUACAAUGGCAUAUACAAAGAGAAGCGACCUCGCGAGAGUAAGCGGACCUCAUAAAGUAUGUCGUAGUCCGGAUUGGAGUCUGCAACUCGACUCCAUGAAGUCGGAAUCGCUAGUAAUCGUAGAUCAGAAUGCUACGGUGAAUACGUUCCCGGGCCUUGUACACACCGCCCGUCACACCAUGGGAGUGGGUUGCAAAAGAAGUAGGUAGCUUAACCUUCGGGAGGGCGCUUACCACUUUGUGAUUCAUGACUGGGGUGAAGUCGUAACAAGGUAGCCGU